This 272-nucleotide long non-coding RNA is filed under the name Callithrix jacchus (white-tufted-ear marmoset). RNAcentral describes it as "lncRNA (ENSCJAG00000073134.1)". The record is from RNAcentral. Lineage: Eukaryota; Metazoa; Chordata; Mammalia; Primates; Cebidae.
UUGGCAAUCAUAUUAUCUAUUAAUGAUGAUAAUUCUAUUAUUUAAUUGAAACUCUUACGUAAUUUUUUUUCUUGUUUUUCCGCACUGCUCAGUGAUAAUGAACAUCCUUUAUUUUUCCUACUUUAAAGACAAGGUAUCUGUCAUGCAGACUGGAAUGCAGUGGUGCGAUCAUGGCUCCCUAUAAGCUUGAACUCUUGGGCUCAAGUGAUACUGCCACCUUGGUCUCCUGAGUAGCUGGGACUACGAGUGUGUACCACCACUCCUGGGUAAUU